This 210-nucleotide unclassified non-coding RNA is filed under the name Hevea brasiliensis (rubber tree). The record is from RNAcentral. Lineage: Eukaryota; Viridiplantae; Streptophyta; Magnoliopsida; Malpighiales; Euphorbiaceae.
UGGGUCUCCCAAACUUUUUCUUAAGUGAGUUUAUUUCCUUUCCUUUUGUGCACUGGGCUGCUCCUUUUGUUCCUUCAGGCAUUUCUUCAAACACGUUCUAAAUUUUAGAUUGCAUGCAAAUACAAUAGGAUUGUGUUUUUGAGAAAAUUGAGUUGGGGUGUUUCUACAUAUGGAAUUUCUAUGUAGCCAAAGGAUGGACAGGCGUGUUGA